Molecule: long non-coding RNA, 1218 nt
Organism: Erpetoichthys calabaricus (reedfish)
Lineage: Eukaryota; Metazoa; Chordata; Cladistia; Polypteriformes; Polypteridae
Exons: 3
Source: RefSeq, a predicted model, not a curated record
CCCUGAUCAUCCUUGAAAUGUUUCUGCAGCUUCAUUGGAGUCCACCUGUGGUAAAUUCAGUUGACUGGACAUGAUUUGGAAAGGCACACACCUGUCUAUAGAAGGUCCCACAGUUGACAGUUCAUGUCAGAGCACAAACCAAGCAUGAAGUCAAAGGAAUUGUCUGUAGACCUCUGAGACAGGAUUGUCUCGAGGCACAAAUCUGGGGAAGGUUACAGAAAAACUUCUGCUGCUUUGAAGGUCCCAAUGAGCACAGUGGCCUCCAUCAUCCGUAAGUGGAAGAAGUUUGAAACCACCAGGACUCUUUCUAGAGCUGGCCGGCCAUCUGAACUGAGCGAUCAGGGGAGAAGGGCCUUAGUCAGGGAGGUGACCAAGAACCCGAUGGUCACUCUGUCAGAGCUCCACAGGUCCUCUGUGGAGAGAGGAGAACCUUCCAGAAAGACAACCAUCUCUGCAGCAAUCCACCAAUCAGGCCUGUAUGGUAGAGUGGCCAGACGGAAGCCACUCCUUAGUAAAAGGCACAUGGCAGCCCGCCUGGAGUUUGCCAAAAGGCACCUGAAGGACUCGCAGAUCAUGAGAAAGAAAAUUCUCUGGUCUGAUGAGACAAAGAUUGAACUCUUUGGUGCGAAUGCCAGGUGUCACGUUUGGAGGAAACCAGGCACCGCUCAUCACCAGGCCAAUACCAUCCCUACAGUGAAGCAUGGUGGUGGCAGCAUCAUGCUGUGGGGAUGGGAGACUAGUCAGGAUAAAGGGAAAGAUGACUGCAGCAAUUUACAGAGACAUCCUGGAUGAAAACCUGCUCCAGAGCGCACUUGACCUCAGACUGGGGCGACGGUUCAUCUUUCAGCAGGACAACGACCCUAAGCACACAGCCAAGAUAUCAAAGGAGUGGCUUCAGGACAACUCUGUGAAUGUCCUUGAGUGGCCCAGCCAGAGCCCAGACUUGAAUCCAAUUGAACAUCUCUGGAGAGAUCUUAAAAUGGCUGUGCACCGACGCUUCCCAUCCAACCUGAUGGAGCUUGAGAGGUGCUGCAAAGAGGAAUGGGCGAAACUGGCCAAGGAUAGGUGUGCCAAGCUUGUGGCAUCAUAUUCAGAAAGACUUGAGGCUGGAAUUGCUGCCAAAGGUGCAUCGACAAAGUAUUGAGCAAAGGCUGUGAAUACUUACGGACAUGGGAUUUCUCAGUUUUUUUAUUUUUAAUAAAUUUGCAAAAACCUCAA